GGAGAAGCUUGCUUCUCUGAUGUUAGCGGCGGACGGGUGAGUAACACGUGGAUAACCUACCUAUAAGACUGGGAUAACUUCGGGAAACCGGAGCUAAUACCGGAUAAUAUUUUGAACCGCAUGGUUCAAAAGUGAAAGACGGUCUUGCUGUCACUUAUAGAUGGAUCCGCGCUGCAUUAGCUAGUUGGUAAGGUAACGGCUUACCAAGGCAACGAUGCAUAGCCGACCUGAGAGGGUGAUCGGCCACACUGGAACUGAGACACGGUCCAGACUCCUACGGGAGGCAGCAGUAGGGAAUCUUCCGCAAUGGGCGAAAGCCUGACGGAGCAACGCCGCGUGAGUGAUGAAGGUCUUCGGAUCGUAAAACUCUGUUAUUAGGGAAGAACAUAUGUGUAAGUAACUGUGCACAUCUUGACGGUACCUAAUCAGAAAGCCACGGCUAACUACGUGCCAGCAGCCGCGGUAAUACGUAGGUGGCAAGCGUUAUCCGGAAUUAUUGGGCGUAAAGCGCGCGUAGGCGGUUUUUUAAGUCUGAUGUGAAAGCCCACGGCUCAACCGUGGAGGGUCAUUGGAAACUGGAAAACUUGAGUGCAGAAGAGGAAAGUGGAAUUCCAUGUGUAGCGGUGAAAUGCGCAGAGAUAUGGAGGAACACCAGUGGCGAAGGCGACUUUCUGGUCUGUAACUGACGCUGAUGUGCGAAAGCGUGGGGAUCAMACAGGAUUAGAUACCYUGGUAGUCCACGCCGUAAACGAUGAGUGYUAAGUGUUAGGGGGUUUCCGCCCCUUAGUGCUGCAGCUAACGCAUUAAGCACUCCGCCUGGGGAGUACGACCGCAAGGUUGAAACUCAAAGGAAUUGACGGGGACCCGCACAAGCGGUGGAGCAUGUGGUUUAAUUCGAAGCAACGCGAAGAACCUUACCAAAUCUUGACAUCCUUUGACAACUCUAGAGAUAGAGCUUUCCCCUUCGGGGGACAAAGUGACAGGUGGUGCAUGGUUGUCGUCAGCUCGUGUCGUGAGAUGUUGGGUUAAGUCCCGCAACGAGCGCAACCCUUAAGCUUAGUUGCCAUCAUUAAGUUGGGCACUCUAAGUUGACUGCCGGUGACAAACCGGAGGAAGGUGGGGAUGACGUCAAAUCAUCAUGCCCCUUAUGAUUUGGGCUACACACGUGCUACAAUGGACAAUACAAAGGGCAGCGAAACCGCGAGGUCAAGCAAAUCCCAUAAAGUUGUUCUCAGUUCGGAUUGUAGUCUGCAACUCGACUACAUGAAGCUGGAAUCGCUAGUAAUCGUAGAUCAGCAUGCUACGGUGAAUACGUUCCCGGGUCUUGUACACACCGCCCGUCACACCACGAGAGUUUGUAACACCCGAAGCCGGCUCUU
RNAcentral lists this ribosomal RNA (1379 nucleotides) under Staphylococcus aureus. RNAcentral describes it as "bacterial SSU rRNA". The record is from RNAcentral. Lineage: Bacteria; Bacillati; Bacillota; Bacilli; Caryophanales; Staphylococcaceae.